This 142-nucleotide small nucleolar RNA is filed under the name Caenorhabditis japonica. Its description in RNAcentral is "snoRNA CJA48456". It matches the Rfam family "Nematode snoRNA ceN58". The record is from Rfam by way of RNAcentral. Lineage: Eukaryota; Metazoa; Nematoda; Chromadorea; Rhabditida; Rhabditidae.
CUGCGUCUCUCCAACCCGGCCGGAUCAGCAACUUUGGUUGCCGUGGUCUGAUCGACUGUUAGAGACGCUAUAUGAGAAAUUUGGCGUUUUCGCUAACACCGAGUCCUGUGACCGGAGUUUGAUAGUAGGUCGCUGAACAAUU